RNAcentral lists this ribosomal RNA (476 nucleotides) under Platycomopsis sp. Its description in RNAcentral is "SSU rRNA". It matches the Rfam family "Eukaryotic small subunit ribosomal RNA", at positions 482 to 961 of the family's 1831-position model. Lineage: Eukaryota; Metazoa; Nematoda; Enoplea; Enoplida; Leptosomatidae. The record is from RNAcentral.
GAGACGGUUCUCUAAGAGGCCCGUCAUCGGAAUGGGUACAAUCUAAAUCCUUUAACGAGGAUCUAUUGGAGGGCAAGUCUGGUGCCAGCAGCCGCGGUAAUUCCAGCUCCAAAAGCGUAUAUAAAAGUUGUUGCGGUUAAAAAGCUCGUAGUUGGAUCUGCGCUCUAGGUUUGCGGUCCCCUAAAUGGGAGGUACUGCUUUACCUGGGCUAUUUUCUCUGGUUUUCCCUUUGUGCUCUUUACCGAGUGCUCUGGGUGACUGGAAUUUUUACUUUGAAAAAAUUAGAGUGCUCAAAGCAGGCGGUCAGCCUGAAUAGUGGUGCAUGGAAUAAUGGAAUAGGACUUCGGUUCUAUUUUGUUGGUUUUCGGAGCUCGAAGUAAUGAUUAAGAGGGACAGACGGGGGCAUUCGUAUUGCGACGUUAGAGGUGAAAUUCUUGGAUCGUCGCAAGACGCACUACUGCGAAAGCUUUUGCCAA